RNAcentral lists this ribosomal RNA (600 nucleotides) under uncultured bacterium. Its description in RNAcentral is "bacterial SSU rRNA". It matches the Rfam family "Bacterial small subunit ribosomal RNA", at positions 185 to 804 of the family's 1533-position model. The record is from RNAcentral.
ACCGCAUGGUACAGUGGUAAAAACUCCGGUGGUAUGAGAUGGACCCGCGUCUGAUUAGGUAGUUGGUGGGGUAACGGCCUACCAAGCCGACGAUCAGUAGCCGACCUGAGAGGGUGACCGGCCACAUUGGGACUGAGACACGGCCCAGACUCCUACGGGAGGCAGCAGUGGGGAAUAUUGCACAAUGGAGGAAACUCUGAUGCAGCGACGCCGCGUGAAGGAUGAAGUAUUUCGGUAUGUAAACUUCUAUCAGCAGGGAAGAAAAUGACGGUACCUGACUAAGAAGCCCCGGCUAACUACGUGCCAGCAGCCGCGGUAAUACGUAGGGGGCAAGCGUUAUCCGGAUUUACUGGGCGUAAAGGGAGCGUAGACGGCACGGCAAGCCAGAUGUGAAAGCCCGGGGCUCAACCCCGGGACUGCAUUUGGAACCGCUGAGCUAGAGUGUCGGAGAGGCAAGUGGAAUUCCUAGUGUAGCGGUGAAAUGCGUAGAUAUUAGGAGGAACACCAGUGGCGAAGGCGGCUUGCUGGACGAUGACUGACGUUGAGGCUCGAAAGCGUGGGGAGCAAACAAGAGUAGAUACCCUGGUAGUCCACGCCGUA